GAUGAAGAACGUAGCAAAAUGCGAUACUUGGUGUGAAUUGCAGAAUCCCGUGAACCAUCGAGUUUUUGAACGCAAGUUGCGCCCGAAGCCUUUUGGCCGAGGGCACGUCUGCCUGGGCGUCACGCAUCGCGUCGCCCCCCACAAUUCUCCGUAAAGGGAACAUGUGUUUUGGGGGCGGAUAUUGGUCUCCCGUGCUCAUGGCGUGGUUGGCCGAAAUAGGAGUCCUUUCGAUGGACGCACGAACUAGUGGUGGUCGUAAAAUCCCUCGUCUUUUGUUUCGUGCUGUUGCUCGCAAGGUAAACUCUUUAAAAACCCCAAUGUGUCGUCUCUUGACGACGCUUCGACCGCGACCCCAGGUCAGGCGGGACUACCCGCUGAGUUUAAGCAUAUCAAUAAGCGGAGGA
RNAcentral lists this unclassified non-coding RNA (404 nucleotides) under soil metagenome. RNAcentral's name for it is "partial contains 5.8S ribosomal RNA, internal transcribed spacer 2, and large subunit ribosomal RNA". The stretch from base 1 to 122 matches the Rfam family "5.8S ribosomal RNA", at positions 35 to 154 of the family's 154-position model. The record is from RNAcentral.